AAAACCUUGUGUUGGCUAGAAAUUCAUUUUCUAGAACUGUAUACAACAUAAAUACUUUGUCAAAUCUUGUUUAUGUUGGAAGGGUACAAAUAACUGUGGAUGGUGAUGGCCGUCAUAUUGUAUACCCAAGGAAUGCACCAACGGCAGAAGACAUAGCUAGUGGAAAGGU
Non-coding RNA from Oryza sativa Japonica Group (Japanese rice), 169 nucleotides. NCBI's taxonomy places the organism in Eukaryota, Viridiplantae, Streptophyta, Magnoliopsida, Poales, Poaceae. The record is from RefSeq and is a predicted model, not a curated record.